Molecule: ribosomal RNA, 730 nt
Filed under: uncultured bacterium
Lineage: Bacteria
Description: bacterial SSU rRNA
Rfam family: Bacterial small subunit ribosomal RNA
Source: RNAcentral
AACAGGAUUAGAUACCCUGGUAGUCCACGCCGUAAACGAUGUCGACUUGGAGGUUGUGCCCUUGAGGCGUGGCUUCCGGAGCUAACGCGUUAAGUCGACCGCCUGGGGAGUACGGCCGCAAGGUUAAAACUCAAAUGAAUUGACGGGGGCCCGCACAAGCGGUGGAGCAUGUGGUUUAAUUCGAUGCAACGCGAAGAACCUUACCUACUCUUGACAUCCAGAGAACUUAGCAGAGAUGCUUUGGUGCCUUCGGGAACUCUGAGACAGGUGCUGCAUGGCUGUCGUCAGCUCGUGUUGUGAAAUGUUGGGUUAAGUCCCGCAACGAGCGCAACCCUUAUCCUUUGUUGCCAGCGGUUCGGCCGGGAACUCAAAGGAGACUGCCAGUGAUAAACUGGAGGAAGGUGGGGAUGACGUCAAGUCAUCAUGGCCCUUACGAGUAGGGCUACACACGUGCUACAAUGGCAUAUACAAAGAAAAGCGACCUCGCGAGAGCAAGCGGACCUCAUAAAGUAUGUCGUAGUCCGGAUUGGAGUCUGCAACUCGACUCCAUGAAGUCGGAAUCGCUAGUAAUCGUGGAUCAGAAUGCCACGGUGAAUACGUUCCCGGGCCUUGUACACACCGCCCGUCACACCAUGGGAGUGGGUUGCAAAAGAAGUAGGUAGCUUAACCUUCGGGAGGGCGCUUACCACUUUGUGAUUCAUGACUGGGGUGAAGUCGUAACAAGGUAACC